This 470-nucleotide long non-coding RNA is filed under the name Rosa chinensis. RNAcentral's name for it is "sRNA RchiOBHm_Chr6g0246211". The record is from RNAcentral. Lineage: Eukaryota; Viridiplantae; Streptophyta; Magnoliopsida; Rosales; Rosaceae.
GCGAGGAUCGGUGUACGAGUUCUUGAAGCGGUGCUGACUCGCCGGUAAUCGGAUCGCUCCAGAUUGUUCAGGUCUAUAAGGCGUCAUGCGACUCCUCUUCAUCUCUUGACGUACUCAUCAUGAUCUGAGAGCGCGACGUUGAAAUAGAAUGACUCGUUGUGCUCAACGAACUGGAGGCCAACGAAGGCGUGCUUGCCGGUGCCGUCCUUGAUCUUAAGGACGAAGAAGCGUGACAAGCUGAGCAUGGUCUCGACGGAGGUCGUUGGAGUUUGGAUCCUCUGGUCGGAUCUCGCGCUGGUCCUUGCAUGACACUACCCAGAGCUGACUCAUCCAGAUCUUGUCGGACUUGAGCCACUCGCCGCAAUUGUACCUGCCGGAUGUCGACUGCAGUGGGGUUUUGUAGACCGCGACCUCGCACACCAGCAGCAGCUUCAGAAUCCUCAUCGUCGCCGUGAUCCAUCUCCCUCGUC